This 469-nucleotide long non-coding RNA is filed under the name Homo sapiens (human). RNAcentral's name for it is "HSALNT0327759". The record is from RNAcentral. Lineage: Eukaryota; Metazoa; Chordata; Mammalia; Primates; Hominidae.
CUCGACAAUAUUGUGAAAGAAUAUAUACCAUCUUUAAUCAGAACAACAGUGCUAAUGUGGGUGUCACGUUAAAUUUAGUGAAGUCGCCUUUAGUUCUUGACUGAAGGCUAGAAAUAAGACCAGAUCUGUCAACUUUUCUGUUACUCAAGACCUCUGGAUAGAUUUAUAGAGGAAAUAUAAGGACACAAGCAUCUUUUAAAGUUGAAGCUCUGUUCAUCCCUCAAGGACACAUCUUUAAGUUAACUCAAAAUGAUACUGGGGCUUCAAAAGAAUAACUGUCAGAGAAAUGUUUCCAACUAGGAAGUUUCAUUCAAUUAAAAUAAAGUGAGCUGUAUUUCAUCAGAAUAGGUAAUGUUCUAGAAUUCCAAGGCAGAGAAAAUUGCAUCUACAGGUCAGGCUGCUUUUAUUUAUGGUUUUAUUAAAUUGUAUUGUUUAUUACCAUGUACAAGUUUAUAACCCACACAGUGAU